CAGUAGCCACGGUAAUACAGAGGGUGCGAGCGUUAAUCGGAUUUACUGGGCGUAAAGCGUGCGUAGGCGGCUUCUUAAGUCGGAUGUGAAAUCCCUGAGCUUAACUUAGGAAUUGCAUUCGAUACUGGAAAGCUAGAGUAUGGGAGAGGAUGGUAGAAUUCCAGGUGUAGCGGUGAAAUGCGUAGAGAUCUGGAGGAAUACCGAUGGCGAAGGCAGCCAUCUGGCCUAAUACUGACGCUGAGGUACGAAAGCAUGGGGAGCAAACAGGAUUAGAUACCCCGGUAGUCCCUGUCUCUUAUAC
RNAcentral lists this ribosomal RNA (301 nucleotides) under uncultured bacterium. RNAcentral describes it as "partial 16S ribosomal RNA". It matches the Rfam family "Bacterial small subunit ribosomal RNA", at positions 509 to 807 of the family's 1533-position model. The record is from RNAcentral.